GAGAUGCGAUAAGUAAUGUGAAUUGCUGAAUUCAGUGAAUCAUCGAAUCUUUGAACGCACCUUGCGCUCAUUGGUAUUCCGAGGAGCCUGCAUGUUUGACUGACAUGAAAGCCUCAAACCCAAGUUUUGGAUUUCGGUCCAUGCUUAGGUUUGGAUUUGGAUGUUUGCCGGUGAUGAACCGACUCAUCUUAAAAGUAUUAGCUGGAUCUGUCUAUAUGACUGGUUUGACUUGACAUAAUAAGUAUUUUGCUGAGGACAUCUUCGGAUGGCCAGGACCUAGACUACUGUCUGCUAACUAAACCAUCACUUUAAGUGCAUCUUUGGAUGUUACUCAUUGUGUAACUUUGACAUCUGGCCUCAAAUCAAGUAGGACUACCCGCUGAUCUUAA
RNAcentral lists this unclassified non-coding RNA (389 nucleotides) under uncultured fungus. Its description in RNAcentral is "sequence contains ITS1". The stretch from base 1 to 105 matches the Rfam family "5.8S ribosomal RNA", at positions 50 to 154 of the family's 154-position model. The record is from RNAcentral. Lineage: Eukaryota; Fungi.